UUGGGAAGAAAGAAGAAAGGAGGAGGGCCAAAGUAAAAAAAAAAGACAGAACAGAGGAGGGGAUCAAAAAUCCCUAGCGCAGCCGAUCCCCAUCGGGCCUGGCUCAUCUCUCUCUCUCCCUCACCCAUCCUUCUCCACCUCCGGCCGCCGCCACGGCCAGGCCGGCAUGGUGGUGCGCCUCCCACCUCAUCACCCAUCUCCAUCCACCACUCCACCAUCACCUCCAUCCAUCAGCGCUGUGCCACCCAGCACCUCCACCACGCACCACCAGCACCACUCCACAUCCACCUCACGCAACUCACCAGACAGAGGGCCGGCGGUGUCUGAUCCAUCGCGCGCCGAUGCUGGUGCCUCCUUCUUCAACCUGCUGCUUCUUCUUCCUCACCUCCGCUGCUGCUGUCCCUGCUCUUCUUGCGCUCAUGUUGCUGCUCCUCUGAACCCCUCGUACUUCUGCUCCUAAUCUUCUCCAACUUGCUGCUGCUCUGCUUACUCUAUCUCCUUGCACCGCUGCUGCUGCUUCUCCCGCGCGCCCCAACCUGCUGCUGCUCUUCCCCCACGAAUCUGCUACAACUCCACUCUCCAGCGCCUCCUUUGCUGAUUCUUUGCUCUGAACCUCAAGUUGCUACUGCUUCUUCUUCUCACGUCACGGCUGCUGCUCUUCUUUUCUUUCCCCUACUGUUGCUCCUUCUCUGAACCUCACGCGCUGCUCCAUCUCCUAAACGCUGCUGCUUCUUCCUUGGCCUCCUGCUCUGCUCCUAAUCUGAACCAUAAAUUGCUGCUACUCCCCUUCAUUCUCUAAAUUUCUGUAGACUUGAGAUCAUAUGUAAUAUUCAUAUUUGGCUAGUGCUUGAAACUUGCUAUUGGUUCAGAUUUGUAACUGUAUAAUAAUGCUAUGACAUGUUCAGUUUCAGACUGGUGAUUGUUUAGUACUGUAGUACUGUUUUUGUUCAUCGGAGAGUAUUAGAACAGUGCCCUAUAAUACCAUAUUCAUAUUUGUGUGUGUGUGUGUGUGUGUGUGAAAUAUAUUAAUUAUGUACUGCACUUGCUACUGAUUAGUGUCCACUUUACUGUAGACUGUUGCUCAAGUUCCUAUGAUAUAUAUCAUGUUUGACAGUUUAGUCCUCUAGUUAUUGUUGCACUGAUUUAUGUCAAGAAGAUUUGGCUAGUGUGAUGUGAGUCCAGUACAUGUGCUUUAUAAUCCUGUUUGUAACCGGUGUUCAUUUUGUAGUCCCAGUGAUAUAUCUUGUACCUUGUGCUAGCUAUGAACCUGUGAUAUAUAUAUGUGUGUGUUAUGUUCAUGUCCUUUUACUUCUCUUGUCAUUGAUGAUAGCUUUUGUUAGUAUCUUAAUUUCUCAAGCAUUACGAAAAUACCAAAAAGAUUGUUGAAGAUAAUUUGAACCUUCCUUGCUACUGUGUUAUUUUCUUUAUUGUCAACUUUGGUUAGUUUAGGUCUAUAUUUCCUUGCAAUCAUCAUCUAAAUUCUAUUACCUAGCUUUAGCCGAGUAUAGUUGACGUCGCCUAGUCCCUGAGGAGAACACAACACUCACAGUUUGGGCGUAAAAACCCCACUGCACCUACUAUGAUCAUUUUGGCGCCGUUGCCGGGGAGUAGCGUCGAGAGAUUUUGUUAGGCCAUAGACUAGGUUUUUCUUGUUUUUCCCUUUGUGCUAUAUAUUUGUGAUAUAUCUCUAGCCACUAACACCUGUUUUAGUUAGUAUCUUUUUGUCUUCUUUUCCUUUUUGCAGUUGGAUUAUCCUCUCGGUUAUGGCUUACUAUUCAGAUCAUCAGGCUUACGCGAGCAACACUACAAACAGCACGGAAAGUGUUCAAGAACUGAUAGGUAAGAUUUCCCAUCGAUUAGAUGAUUUAGCUCGGCAGCGAGAAGGAGUUUUUGAGGAUAGGCCUAGUUCGUACGAUCCUUAUUCCAGAGGCCAUCCUUAUGUUGCUCCUACUUGCCAUAUUUGUGGAUUUCAGGGCCAUUCGCCCGCUGAAUGUCAGCGUGGCUACUCUCACACUCCGGAUUGUUUUGGCAUGAGCUUCACUCAAGAGCAUAGCUCAUACCAAAACAAUUACUCACAUGGGUGGCCUGAAAUCCCGAAUAUGUCAUAUAGGAGCAACAACACUGAGAUCUCACAGUUUGGUUCUAGUAAUCAUAUGCAGGGAUUCAAGUACAAUGAGGAGAACCACAACUAUGCUCCACAACAGAUUUAUUCACCUCCUACUCAUAUACCUCAAUACCAGGAGAUGUGUCCAAUGGAGUUAAAUGGUCCUCCAUUUCGUCAACCAACAACUCCAGCACCUUUCGAGCAAAGAUGAGUUUGAUGACAUAGACAAGCUCACACUUUUGAGUCUCGAGUUCACUUGGAGUGCCGAGGAUGAUCCUAUUAGGAAGGUUAUACUAGAGGAAAUGAAGAAGAUUAAGAGUGGAAAGGAGCUAGUGGAAGAAGUAAGGAAGAUUGAGAAGAACAUCAAUGCUGGCAGCACUAUUUCUUCACAACUUGAGUUGAGUGUGGCUGAGAUAUCCAUGGAUACAUGUGAGGUUCCAACACCUUCACAUUUCGUUGAGCAAGUUAGCAAGUGCCUUGAGCAAGAGAUACCUCAGAUUGAAGAAGAUGAACUAGAAGACAAGGAACAAGAUGGUCAAGAGCUGCAAUUCCCAAGUGAUCAAGUUGAAGACUCAUCAUCUAUUACUCCUGAAGAAGUACAAGAAGCUGCUGUAGAUGAAGAUGAAGAACAUGAGAUUCAUUUGCCUAUUGUCAUACCAGAGUGUGAUGUGUCAGGUUUACUCAAUCCUCUUGAUGACAUGAUGCCUUGUGAUUUCUUUGCUACCACCUUGCAUUACAUGAUACCAUCACUUAAGAUUGAUUUGAAAACUCAUUUGCUUGGAUAUGAUGAUAUAUACCGUGUUAGUGGAAUUGCUCUCAUUUGUGAUGAUCACAAUUACUUUCCUCAUGCUAGUCUUGAGCUUAAUGAUAAAUGUCAUCCUCGUGUGAGUAUUGACCAUGCUGAUUUCUGCCAUCCUAAACAUGUGCUUUAUAGUUAUGCUUAUAUAAUUGGAUAUUCCAUUGAUGACUUGGAGGGCAUCGACCGUAUCACUUGUAGUUGUUUGUGUGAGUCCUAUUUCAGGCUUUUGCUACUACACUGUUUACUACAUGCUGACCAGGUUCGAGGUGACAUUCCUUGGGAUCCUGGUGGAGUCAGAGCAUGGCGAUGAGGGGAGCACAAACAGGGAACACAAACAGAGAAGAGUGGAGAGAAGAAAGUAGGAGAGAAGAGUAUACAAAUACCAGGUGAUUCUGUUCCACUUGAAGCAACCUUUAGAAAAUUUAGUACGAGAACUGGCAUUUUAUUGCAUUGAAACACUUUUUGCAUUGUGACACCUUACUCUUCACUGCAAAGUAGGAUUCACUCCAAGAAGAUUGUUGAUUCUCUUAAUACUAAAACUAUGCAGCUGUAUUCUUCUUAUGGUAAUUUGUGAUAAUGAAUACUUUAUACCUCCAUGUAAAUGUUCAAUGGGAAUGCGUUGAGUCUAAGUGAAACCUACUAAUGAAUUGAUGUGCUGUGUCUGACUGUCCGAAGUUAAGCUAAGUAACUGGUGGCACUUAAGUAGUAGCUAUGAUCUCUGGAUCUGUAGUAUGUGAAAAACAGUGCCAUUAGCUAUGGAUUCCUCUUUCAAUUAUUCCUAUUUUACUUAAGCUAAGUAAUUUUCAAAUAACUAUAUAAAAUAAUUAUAAUAAUUUAAGUCCGAUCGACCUAUAGUAGCAUGUCAUGUUCCCUGGAUCGGUGGCUUGUGAAAUCUGGUAGAUUGGACUGUAAAAAAAUUUAUAUAAAAAAUGCUAUAAUUUGUCGAACCAGGUGUAUACCAUGUUCUCGGGAUCGGUGGUAUGUUCCUUAGGGGAGAUAAUAACAAAAAAAUAUGCUAAUAAUUUGUCGAACCAGGUGUAUACCAUGUUCUCGGGAUCAGUCGUAUGUUCCUUUGGGGAGAUAACAAAAAAAAUAUACUAAUAAUUUGGUCGAGCCAGGUGUAUACCAUGUUCUCGGGAUCGGUGGUAUGUUCCUUUGGUGAGACUGAUAUAAUAUCAUCACUUGUGCUUUAAAUUCAAUAAGUAACUUGUUUUUCUAAUUGAUUUUGGGGUCCCAGCUUAUCUCAGGGCUGAAGACAGAGCCAGCUCUUGAUUAUUAGUAUUCACUUUGACUCAAGGCCAUUGACUUGGAACAUUUACAGUGUGUUAUAAAAUAUUUCUUAUCACAAUUUAGCUUUAGUAGAGUACAUUUGCUUAGUUCCAGUAUUGUCGGAAUUACUAUCUAUCGGAAAGUGCAUCUUUACUAGGCAGUGUGAGUUGUGUCACCAUCAAUUUUUUUUCCUUUGCUUGAGGACAAGCAAAGAUUUAAGUGUGGGGGAACUUGAUAAGCACAUUUCUUAUAUACUAUUUGGGCACACAAAUUCACCUUUUAUUGAGAUAUAUCCAUCCAUUCUUGCUAUGACUUGUUGAAUAUUCGAAUGAUAAUCAUAAAAGAGAAUGUUGACUAGUGAAUUGUUUAUUUUGCAGAAGAGUGCGCAAAGGCACUAUAAUCGUCAAGACUUCUACUAUGUGGCUAACGAGAAGAGAGAAGGGCAUGAAAGAAAUACGUCAAGGCUUGAGCGUGAAGGAAAGAAGUAAUGUAGGGGAGCAAACUAAAAGAAGAGGAGGAUCUUCUUGGGAAGAGAGAAGAAAGGAGGAGGGCCAAAGUAAAAAAAAGACACAACAGAGGAGGGGAUCAAAAAUCCCUAGCGCAGCCGAUCCCCAUCGGGCCUGGCUCAUCUCUCUCUCUCCCUCACCCCUCCUUCUCCACCUCCGGCCGCCACCACGGCCAGGCCGGCGUGUUGGUGCGCCUCCCACCUCAUCACCCAUCUCCAUCCACCACUCCACCAUCACCUCCAUCCAUCAGCGCCGUGCCACCCAGCACCUCCACCAUGCACCACCAGCACCACUCCAGAUCCACCUCACGCAACUCACCAGACAGAGGGUCGGCGGUGUCUGAUCCAUCGCGCGCCCGAUGCUGGUGCCUCCUUCUUCAACCUGCUGCUUCUUCUUCCUCACCUCCGCUGCUGUUGCUCCUGCUCUUCUUGCGCUCAUGUUGCUGCUCCUCUGAACCCCUCGUACUGCUGCUCCUAAUCUUCUCCAACUUGCUGCUGCUCUGCUUACUCUAUCUCCUUGCACCGCUGCUGCUGCUUCUCCCGCGCGCCCCAACCUGCUGCUGCUCUUCCCCCACGAAUCUGCUACAGCUCCACUCUCUAGGGCCUCCUUUGCUGAUUCUUUGCUCUGAACCUCAAGUUGCUACUGCUUCUUCUUCUCACGUCACUGCUACUGCUCUUCUUUUCUUUCCCCUACUGUUGCUCCUUCUCUGAACCUCACGAUGCUGCUCCAUCUCCUAAACGCUGCUGCUUCUUCCUUGGCCUCCUGCUCUGCUCCUAAUCUGAACCAUAAAUUGCUGCUACUCCCCUUCAUUCUCUAAAUUUCUGUAGACUUGAGAUCAUAUGUAAUAUUCAUAUUUGGCUAGUGCUUGAAACUUGCUAUUGGUUCAGAUUUGUAACUGUAUAAUAAUGCUAUGACAUGUUCAGUUUUAGACUGGUGAUUGUUUAGUACUGUAGUACUGUUUUUGUUCAUCGGAGAGUAUUAGAACAGUGCCCUGUAAUACCAUGUUCUUAUUUGUGUGUGUGUGUGUGUGUGAAAUAUAUUAAUUAUGUACUGCACUUGCUACUGAUUAGUGUCCAGUUUACUGUAGACUGUUGCUCAAGUUCCUGUGAUAUAUAUCAUGUUUGACAGUUUAGUCUUCUAGUUAUUGUUGCACUGAUUUAUGUCAAGAAGAUUUGGCUAGUGUGAUGUGAGUCCAGUACAUGUGCUUUAUAAUCCUGUUUGUAACCGGUGUUCAUUUUGUAGUCCCAGUGAUAUAUCUUGUACCUUGUGCUAGCUAUGAACCUGUGAUAUAUAUGUGUGUGUUAUGUUCAUGUCCUUUUACUUCUCUUGUCAUUGAUGAUAGCUUUUGUUAGUAUCUUAAUUUCUCAAGCAUUACGAAAAUACCAAAAAGAUUGUUGAAGAUAAUUUGAACCUUCCUUGCUAUUGUGUUAUUUUCUUUAUUGUCAACUUUGGUUAGUUUAGGUCUAUAUUUCCUUGCAAUCAUCAUCUAAAUUCUAUUACCUAGCUUUACCCGAGUAUAGUUGCUGUCGCCUAUUCCCUGAGGAGAAUACGACACUCACAGUUUGGGCGUAAAAACCCCACUGUACCUACUAUGAUCAAGCAUAUUGAAGUUCGUCAUCAUUUCAUUCGAGAUCAUGUUGCUAAGGGUAACAUUGAUCUUAAGCAUGUUCGCACCGAAAAGCAAUUAGCGGAUAUAUUCACUAAACCUCUUGAUGAGAAAGUGUUUUGCAGGUUGAGAGGAGAAUUGAACAUCAUAGAUGCUUCAAACUUGGAGUAGAAACUUCAUUGGAUACAUGCAAGACAUGAGCUUAUGACUAAUCCUUGAUAUUUCUCUUAUGAUGAAAAUCUUAUGUCUUGGAUAUAUUUGCAUCUUGCAUGUUAUCUAACUAUCGGAGUAAUGGGCCAUGGGUAGGCUAACCCGAGCCCCAGAACCUUUCAAGACAUUGGGAUCAGUAGUAUCGCUUAUGCCGAGUCCCAGGGACGACUCCAAGUUAUGCCGAGUCCCAGGGGCGACUCCAAGAUAUGCUGAGUCCCAGGGACGACUCCAAGUUAUGCCGAGUCCCAGAGACGACUCCAAGAUAAGCCGAGUCCCAGACGGCGACUCCAAGAUAAGCCGAAUCAUGGCCGGCGACUUCCAGAGAGGCUGGCUAUGGAGAGUCGGCCCGCGACUCCAUCCUCGUCUCGAAGGGCGAGGCGGGGUACGGCCACGGCAUGGCCAUCCCCCCUGCUUACAAGGGUCCGGCAUGGCUACAGUGAGCCGUAUCGCUGAAGAUCUCCGGUGAGGCACGACACUGUUGCCAUGCCUGCCCUGACCUCAGCCACAGUGGGAGGCGCACUGUGCCCACGACGCCUGCCUAUACGACCCAAGGACGGCGGGGCCGCCUGUUAGUGGGUUGACAGAAGACGGCACGAGCGCCCUGAAGACGGACCCGUGGGAGUCGCCCCCCUGGAGUCGGCCGACCCCUCCCAUGGGCCCCGCACGCCAUUAAAUAGACAAGAUGGGGAAUGGCGACGGUGAAGGCACACCGGACGGCGGCGUUGUUGCCAUAACCACAUGACCGAGCCAGCGUCAUCAGGAGUGCCGCUAUAGUAUCAGGCCUGCCCGCGGGACCCGCCAGUCGGCGGGCCCCAGUAGUCGACAGAAAGGACGACGGCCUGAGAGACAGAUAGCUGGGACCCGCGCCCAGCCAGAUUACCAUUGUACCCCCGGGGGGUAGGCCUAUAUAAACCCCCCGGGAAGCCCAUGCAAAGGGUUCGGACCUAGACAGAGAUAGACCUUAGAGCAUAGGAAGGAGAGAGCUGGCCUUGCCCUCUCCUACCUCCAGAUACAGCUCCAGGAGCACCAUUGUAGCCACUUUGCCAUAGUGACCAUGCAGAGACCCCGCAGAGCAGCAGUAGGGGUGUUAUCUCCUCGGAGAGCCCUCAAGCUGGAUAAGUUUCGCCGGCGUGCAUGUCUUCGCCUCAUUCCGCUUCCGGGCACCAGCGACGUUCUACUCGCUCCCACCAUGAUAAGCCAUCCUUUGGCAUAUGUUGUACCCAACCCCCGACAUUUGGCGCCCACCGUGGGGCGAGGUGCACCGUCGUCCGAAGACCUGCUCUGGACGGGAACCCUUUUCCUCCCUGGCGAGCGCAGCCAGCCCGGCACGCCAGAUGGAGCCUGCGCCAAUGCGCUGCACGGCACUGAGAUCGCCUGAGCGGCCAGCUGCCUCGCCGAGAUUAUCGGCGAGGUUCGCCUCUCCGACGAGCUUGUGUCCGACGCAGGCACGAGCGGCCCUGAGAGCCUCCUCGCGGGUCUUCUCGACCAACUCCACGUCGCCGGCGAGCCUGCCAUGGACCUGGAGUCCAUAGGAUCCACCGACCCAAUGCUGGUCGACUCUGACACCGCGUCGCUCGACGCGUUUCCCACCAACGUGGUGGUAUACGACGAGCCGCUCCCUUGCGCGGGGAGCGGCGGAAGCACCGUCACGGAGGUUCUCGUCCUUGAUCACGGCGAGCGUUCCGAUGAGGGAGCGCACGACCCGCUCGACGCGGCUCUGCGAGACCUCACUGCGCCGAUUCUGGGAGACGCUGACGCCGAGACGCUGGAGGCACGCCGUCUUCAGCUUAUCGAGGGUGCGAAGAAGUUAGCAAGCAUGAGGCGCUUGUCAGAAGCCUACCAGCGCAAGAUGGAUCGCGCCGUGGGCGGCUCGCCGGCUCCGACUGAGCCUAGCCGCCUAGGCGCGGUCCGACAACGCGGCGUGGCAAUCGCCAAUCUGUUCGGAGCCGAUCGCCCCGUGUAUGCCACGCCCGCGGAGAACAUCAGCGCCGCCCAGGCGGCAGCAGAAGAGCUCGACAACUUCGAGGGCGAAGAGCGCCGCGUGAUGACGGAGCGAUUUCAACAUCUCCUCGACGCGGCUGCCGUGCAGAACGAAGCCGGCUGCCGCACGGAGGCGCCGCAGCGACCAAACGACGAACCGCCACCCCGCCGAGACCAAGGCGCAACGUCUCGGACACCGACUGGCGGGGCCCGCGGAAAGAAGGACAAGGAGCCGGCUGUCAGCCACAGUCGGACUCGCAUCACCAUCGAGCGCGACCAAGACGGCCGCCCCAAAGCGAUGGAACGGCGGGACGACUAUCUGCCUCCCCCUCCUCGCAGAGAAAGGCGAGUCUCCCCGCCGCCCGUGGAACAUCCGACUCUCGGCGACCGUCUUGGCCGCGGAGAGGGAGUCGGAGAGAAUGAUGCCCGCCACCGGAUCGACCGAGUCCACCGAUCCUUGGCGCUAGAAGAAGAAGACAGGUUGGGUCCUCCCUGUUUUGGACCCCGCAUCCGAGAUGAGCCCUUCCCCAAAGGGUUCACGCUCCCCCGAGACACGCCCAAAUACACCGGCACCGUGAAGCCGGAGGACUGGCUGAUCGAUUACUCCACAGUCGUCAAUAUAGCGAAUGUCAACAAGCGUGUUGCCGUAAGAUAUGUCCCGCUCAUGCUCUAGGGCUCGGCCCGAACAUGGUUGAACAGUCUAAAGCCUCGUAGCAUCAAUAGCUGGGUCGACUUCACCGAGGCUUCGUCCGCAACUUCACAAGCACGUACAAGUGACCUCCCAAGCCUCGCCAACUAUCCUUGUGCGUGCAAGGCCCCAACGAAUCUACUCGCGACUACCUCGCGCGCUGGGGCGAGCUCCGGAACUCCUGCGAGGGCGUGCACGAGGUGCAGGCUAUCGAGUACUUUACUACCGGGUGCAGAGAAGGCACCCUCCUCAAGCACAAGCUUCUCUGUGACGAGCCGGAGACCCUCGAUGAACUGUUGAUCACAACAGACAAGUACGCCACGGCCGACUCCUCCACGAAGGCGGAGAUUCAAGUCAGCGCGACUGGCAAAGUCGCCCCUCAGGCUCCAAGAACUCCGGCUGGGGACACCAGCCGACAGCAACAGCAGAACGACCACAAGCGCAAGGCCCCACAGCCGGCAAGUGGCGACAGUCGAAGACCAACAGCCGGAGGGACCGCCUCCGGUGAAGCGGCAGAAGGGCGGCAAGUCCAACUGGUUGCCGGCCUUCUCCUACGAGCAGACCCUGGAUGGCCCCUGCAAGUUCCACAACGGCGCGAAGCCGUCAAACCACACCACCCGGAAAUGCCACUGGCUGACCAGAAUCGCCAAGGGAGACGGCCUACUCCCUCCCCCGCCUGCUGGGCCGCCUGCACCGUAGCCGCCCCAACAGCCGGCUGUCAGGCCAGUCGGCGCGAUAGAAGACGAGUUCCCAGAUGAGCACGGAGCCUUUGUGGUGUUCACCAGUGUGGCGGACGAUCGACGUAGCAGGCGCCAACAGCGGCAAGAAGUGAAUGCAGUCGCAUCAAGCACUUCAGAAUUCAUGCACUGGUCCGAAAGGCCCAUCAGUUGGAGCAGAGCCGAUCACCCAGAGGUGAUGCCGAGUCCAGGCUCCUACGCCUUGGUCUUAGGCGCCACACUCGCCACAGAUAGACGGGCCGCUCUCUUCUCGCGAGUGCUGAUAGACGGAGGUAGCAGUAUCAACAUCCUGUAUAAGGAUACGAUGGAAAGGUUAGGAAUCAAGCGAAGACAGUUUCAGAGCAGCCGGACUGUGUUCCACGACAUUGUUCCUGGCCUUUCCUGCUCACCAAUCGGCAAGAUCCUGAUAGACGUCCUCUUUAGGGACAAAGAUCAUGUCCGCCGAGAGCCGAUUUGGUUUGAAGUGGUGGACCUUGAAAGCCCGUACCAUGCGUUGCUUGGCCGACCAGCUUUGGCCAAGUUCAUGGCAGUCCCCCACUACGCCUACCUCAAGAUGAAGAUGCCGAGUUCCAAGGGAAUUCUGACCAUGGCCGACGACUACAGAAAGUCGUCCGCUUGCGCGGCCGAAAGCAGUCGGCUGGCCGAGUCCUUGGUGAUCGCGGCUGAGAAGCGGCUUCUUGAUCGGGUUGUGGCGAUGGCCGGCAAGCAGCCCGAAAUGUCGCCCGACCCCAAGGAGUCGGAAGCAGAAGGAUCAUUCAAGCCGGCCAGAGAAACGAAGAAGAUACCUUUGGACCCGGAGCACCCGGAGAGGUACGCUGUCAUGGGCACAAACCUUGACAGCAAAUAGGAAGGCGAGCUCGUCGAUUUCCUCCGUGAGAAUCGAGACAUCUUCGCAUGGUCCCCUAAAGACAUGCCUGGUGUACCGACGGAAUUCGCCGAGCACAAAUUACAUGUCCGAUCUGAUGUGAAGCCCGUCAGGCCGCCCUUGCGCCGCCUGUUAGAAGAAAAGAGAAGAGUUGUUGGAGAAGAAAUAGCCUGGCUCCUGGUAGCCGGUUUCAUCAUGGAAGUGUUUUUCCCAGAGUGGCUAGCAAACCCAGUACUGGUGCUGAAGAAGAACAAGCAGUGGCGGAUGUGUAUCGACUACACAAGUCUCAAUAAAGCCUGCCCCAAGGACCCAUUUGCUCUGCCAAGAAUUGAUCAGGUGAUACACUCCACAGCCGGAUGCGAGCUGUUGAGUUUUUUGGAUGCAUAUUCUGGAUAUCACCAGAUCAAGCCGAACCCGACUGACCGACUGAAGACCGCCUUCAUCAUGCCGUUUGGUGCCUUCUGCUACCUGACCAUGACGUUCGGCCUCAGGAAUGCUGGCGCCACCUUUCAGCGUUGCAUGCAGAAGUGCCUCCUCAAGCAACUCGGCAGAAAUGCGCACAUCUACGUGGAUGUUGUGGUGGUGAAGACGGAAAACGUGGAACUCUGUUGGAAGACCUCAAGGAAACCUUUGAGAACCUGCGCCGAUUCCAGAUCAAGCUCAACCCCAAGAAAUGCGUCUUCGGAGUACCAGCCGGCCAGCUCCUUGGUUUCCUGGUCUCCGAACGCGGCAUAGAGUGCAACCCAGUGAAGAUCAAGGCCAUCGAGAGGAUGGAAGCACCCAGACGACUGUUAGAUGUGCAAAAGUUCACCGGCUGUUUGGCGUCCAUCAGCCGAUUCAUCAGUCGGCUGGGCGAGAAGGCUCUCCCCUUGUAUCAGCUCAUGAAGAAGACAACCUUUUUUGAAUGGACUCCCAAGGCGGACGAGGCCUUUCUCCAACUGAAGAAGGUGUUGACUACUCCCCCUGUGCUGGCGGCUCUGACUCCUAAAGAGCCCAUGCUCCUAUACAUUGCCGCCACCAGCCGGGUAGUCAGCACAGUCAUUGUAGUCGAGCACAAGGAGGAAGGCAAGGCGCUACCUGUCCAGAGACCGUUAUAUUACCUGAGCGAGGUACUGUCGGCCUCCAAGAAGAACUACCCCCACUACCAGAAGAUGUGCUACGGCGUGCAUUUUGCCGCCAAGAAAUUGAAGCCUUACUUCCAGGAGCAUCCAAUCACUGUGGUCUGCACAGCCCCACUAGCCGAGAUCAUCGGAAGCCGAGAUGCUUCUGGCCGAGUGGCCAAAUGGGCCAUCGACCUGGCUCCCUACACCAUCUACUACGAAACCCGCACCGCCAUCAAGUCGCAAGCACUGGCCGACUUCCUCGUCGAUUGGGCCGAGACCCAGUAUCUGCCACCAGCGCCCGACUCCACCCAUUGGCGGAUGCACUUCGAUGGCUCCAAGAUGCACACCGGCCUGGGAGCCGGCGUUGUCCUCACUUCCCCCAAGGGUGACAAGCUCAGAUAUGCGCUCCAGAUCCAUUUCGUCGCCUCCAACAACGUGGCCGAGUACGAGGCGCUCAUCCACGGGCUCCGUCUUGCCGAAGAACUCGGCAUUCGCCAGAUCCUGUGUUAUGGCGACUCUGACUUGGUGGUCCAGCAGUCAUCUGGCGAUUGGGACGCCAACGACGCAAACAUGGCGAGCUACCGCUUCCUUGUACAGCAACUCGGCGGAUACUUCGAGGGGUGCGAGUUCCUCCACGUGCCAAGGAAUGGCAACGACCAAGCAGACGCCUUGGCACGAAUCGGCUCCACCCGCCAAGCAAUACCAUCCGGCAUCGCCCUUUGGCGCCUCCUCAAGCCGUCCAUCAAGCCGUCACCAGAAUCAGACUCAAUCUUUGUGACGGCUCCACCCGAAGAAGUCGAAUCCGACUCCAAGAAAGCCACAGUCAAAGCCGGCCCGGGAACUUCAGAACCCGGUCCGAGGACUGCGGUGACAAGACCAAGGACUCCAGAACUCGGCCCAGGGACUGCUCCAGUCAGCCUGGGGACUUCGUCAAGUCAGCAAGCUGCUGCGGACUCCAACCCGCCGCCUCCCAGCCCAGCCACCCUUGUCCAAGUCGCACUAGUGGCAUUUGAAGAAAUAGCAGCACCCUCAUGGGCCCAGCCCAUCCUAAAGUUCCUAGUAAACAGAGAGCUGCCAAUUGAUGAAAUCUUGGCUCGGCAAGUGCAACACCGAGCAGCAGCUUAUACCGUAGUCAACAGAGAGCUGGUUAGGCAUAGCGUCAUUGGCGUCUACCAACGCUGCGUCGAGGCAGAACAAGGCCAAGCAAUUCUCAGAGACGUCCAUGAAGGCGAGUGCGGCCACCAUGCGGCCUCAAGGGCACUCGUCGCCAAAGCCUUCCGGCACGGUUUCUUCUGGCCAACUGCCCUGGAAGAGGCCAAAGAGUUAGUCCAAAAGUGCAAAGGGUGCCAGAUGUUCCGUUCCAAGCCACUUCAGCUAGCUUCCGCACUCAAGACUAUCCCCAUCGCCUGGCCCUUUGCAGUCUGGAGCCUGGACAUGGUGGGACCAUUCAAGAUGGCACGAGGUGGCUUGACUCAUCUACUUGUCGAAGUGGACAAGUUCACCAAGUGGAUAGAAGUGAAACCCAUCAAGAAGUUGAAUGGUCCGACUGCAGUGACUUUCAUCGCCGACAUCACGACUCGGUACGACAUCCCACACAUCAUCAUCACCGACAAUGGCACAAAUUUUGCCAAAGGCGCCUUGGCCCGUUUCUGCGCGACACAGGGCAUCCGACUGGACUUAGCGUCCGUUGCCCAUCCGCAGUCAAACGGCCAGGUGGAGCGGGCAAAUGGCCUCAUCUUAUCCGGCAUCAAGCCUCGACUGGUCGUGCCGCUAGAGCGAUCGGCCGGCUGCUGGCUUGAGGAACUGCCGGCCGUCCUCUGGAGUCUGCGCACGACUCCAAACAAGUCAACCGGCUUCACACCCUUCUUCCUCGUCUACGGUGCUGAAGCCGUCAUCCCGACGGACAUAGAGUUCGACUCCCCGUGAGUCACAAUGUACACCGAGGAAGAAGCAGAAGAAGCACGUCAAGACGGCGUCGAUCUGCUGGAAGAGGGCCGGCUAUUGGCACUCAGCCGGUCCAGCAUCUACCAGCAGAGUCUGCAUCGAUACUACAACAGGAAGGUCAGGCCAAGAUCUUUCCAAGAGGGCGACCUUGUGCUCCGACUGAUCCAGCGAACAGCCGGCCAGCACAAGCUGUCGGCGCCUUGGGAAGGGCCCUUCAUCAUCAGCAAGGUGCUGGGAAACGACUCCUACUACCUGAUCGAUGCUCAGAAGCCCCGAGCGUGCAAGAGGGACAACUCCGGCAAAGAGACAGAACGCCCGUGGAAUGCAAAUCUUCUCCGAAGAUUUUACAGUUGAUGCAGUAUGUAUCACGCUACCCUUUUGUAUUAAAGUACCAAGACUUUGGGCCUCCCGAGACGAGCUCGGGGACUGCCCUUUUUGUUAUCUGUAUGAUAAGAAUUACGCCUUCGAGUAUAUUACUCUUUGUUAAAUGCCGCUUGGCACCGGGCCCGACUAGUCGGCCCGGGGACUCGCCGCCUCGUGCUAUGAGGAGCUUCCCACAGUCAGACAAGUAGUGUGCGGUGCCUAAUCCGUCUCCUGGCAAAGCCGCAGCUCGCAGAGCGACUGUGUGGUGGGCAAGAGUGAGGAAGAACGGGCGCCCACACGAAAAAUGGCUAAGGACCCAAAGCACAAACAUAGCGUAAGACGGCCUCCAGCAUCUCUGAGGCAAAAAGCCGACUCAUGAGUAGUCGGCUUGCCGCUUUAUACUAGCCUCUAUUAAAGACACCCGACUCUUUAGUAGUCGGCUCACCGCCUUCUAUCCAACUUUUUAAAGAAGACUCUAAGACGGCUGAGUACCUGCCUUCCCAAAGUAGCCAAGCAUUUGAUCCAGCGACAGUCUGCAGAGUGGUUGUCCGACUGACAAGGAAGCGACUAAAGGAAGGCGGCAAAGGGAAAAGCCUAAAGAGCAAUAAGCAAGGAAAGAUAGAACUCGGAUAAAUAUUUACAUAGGCCCUUGGCCGAAUGUUCAAGUAGAAGUUCAAGAUACACCCCGCGGGUGGAACUGUUCGAAUUUAACAAAGUUUUCCAAAAGAUUACUAAGACAAAUAAAGCAAAGGCAAAAACGGCAGCCUAGGAGGCAGCAUCUGGGAUUGGAGGAUCGGAGGAGAUGGCGGUGUCAGGCGCCGGGGCGGCCGGCUGGGCGGUCUCGGUUUGAUUGCCUCCGGCGGCAGUCGCCUCCUCCGGACGCGGCUCGUUGCUGGAGGCGUGGUCAAGCUAAGGCUGGUCGCCCGCUCCGUCUUCUGGCACCUCCGUCUCGCCUCCGUCCUCCGCCUCGCCUUCCUCCUCGGUGCUGGAGUCAAUCACCUCCGCCGAGUCCUCGCCAAAGUCCGGGUUCAUCCUGAACCACUCUGGCGGCACCUCCUCGCCGCCUGCAGCCCGCUCGGGGACGAAGACACUGGUGUCCGUGUAGUCGGCAAUCGCCGCCGCACGCUCGACAAGGGCACCAUCCACUGCCACCAACUCUACCCGGGCCUCUGACCGGAAUGCGGCCAGCCGGUCCAGGUCCAGCCCCCGAAACCACGCCUUGACGAAUUCCAAGGCCCGACACGCUCCGGCCCGGGCCGAGGAACCCUUCCAAGCUUCAAGACGGCCAGUUGCGACCUCUAGCCAGUCGGCGGUCCGACUGGCGGUGCGCAGGGCCGGCAUGUCUGGCCACAUAGCGGCAACCGCCUGGGUGCCGGCACGCUGAAGCCAGCGCAUCAGCCAGUGGGCCGGACGAAGACGGGCCUCGAUGCUCAGAAGCUGCUCAUCGACAGUUUGGGGGGCGUUAGCGGCGAUCUCCGUGCCGCUUGCCCUCCGCAUCUCGCGAUCAGCCUCGAUGGCCUGAGUGACUGCCUGCGAGUGGCCAGGGAAGAAGUCUACCAAGACAAAAAACAAGUGAGUCGAAAAAACCAGAAAUCGACUCGACCUAUAGUCGGAAGCUCGGAGAAAGAAAGGAAGAAAAGAAACUCACCAUCGACGAUGUCCUCGAUCUCAUGAAAGCCGGUGGUCAGCAUUGCCUCCCUGUCAGUCCAGGAGGAGCGCUCGCUCUCGAACUCGGCCAGGAGAGCGGUUUCCUUCUUCUCGGCCUCGUCCUGCGCCUUCUUGAGCAGCUCCUUCUGCUCGGCCAGCUGCGUGGCCAGCAGGUCGCGCUCUGCGGCAAGUUUGCUGCACUCCUGCUCCUUGGCGCGCAAGGUGGUGUUGGCCUCGCCCAGCUGCUGCUGAAGAGCGGCGUUGGCCUCUGAAGAAGAAAAAAGACGAAAGACGAUAAGUCAUCAACAAAGAAAGUCGCUGAGAAGAUCCGGCCCGACUGCUUAGCAGUCAGCCCGAAUCUCGGGGACUACAGCCUGCGGGUGCGCCAGCGCACCCCCGAGAAAAAGAAGAAGGACUCACCCCGGCUCUCCGACAAGUCGGCAGUCCGCCUGCCUAACUCCUCAACAUUGCGAUUGAAGGCGGUAGCGCGGAGGUUGUGAUACUCCUGCAAUAAGCAUUUCAGACAAAGUUAAUAUUUGGAACUCGCCAGAGGGAGUUCCGAACCGCCUGCUCAGCAGCCGGCCCGAAACUUGGGGACUACACCCAGUGGGUGCGCUGACGCGCCCCCAAAGAGAAAAACAAGAAUAAAAAAGAAGAGGGAAACAUACUCGGACGGCCGUUCGCGCUGCCAGAUGCGCCCUGGUGCAAAUUUGAAGGGCGUCGCCUUCAGCUCGCAGCUUCGCCUGGACGUCCAGAAGCGCUUGGUUCAGCGGCCCUGUGUCGCCUCCGCGCAACCACCCAACGGGCGCGGCGCUUGUCGCCUCGGCGUCUGGGAUUGCCGAGCUGGCGGCGCCGGUCUCCCGGGGGCGCGGCGCCGAGGUCACCCUCUCAAGACGGCAGCGCACUGGCGAGGUGACUUAGAGAAGCAGCCUCGCCUCGGACUCAUCCACAGUCGGCGGCACCAGCGGGCCCGCCGGCUGUUUGCCGUGCGCUCUCCCAGACAGCGGCGGAGGCGGCACGAGCGUGUCCGACAUGGAGGCCUCGCCGCUUUCCUUCUCCACGACGGGGUUCUCGGUGCCGGCUUCUCCAGUCUGCCCCGUGAACUCCGGGGGCGGCGGCGUCGAGGACAGUGGGGUGACGAACAACGCCGACUAGCGGCACGCGGCCUCCUCGGCUUGCUGCCUUGCUGCGGCGGCGGCUUCGGCCUCUUCCAGUUUUUUCUGGGCAGAGGCCGCCGCCUUCUCGGCCUUCGCUUUCUCCAAGCGGUUGGCCUCCUCCUCGUAGCGCUUCUCCCGCGCGUUUCGCUCCGUCGCAUUCCGGAGGUCAGCGGCAGGGUCAACCCGCCGAGUGUUGGCUGACGUCUCCGCCGACCCCAUGACGGAGGGGACGGCGACCCUCUCGGGGGUAAGGGGAGCCCUGAAGCAAAAAGGGAAUGAAAAAGGAAACUCAGACGAGAUUCACCAAAGAAAAAUAAAAACGAAGGAGGAAACACUUACGCAGAGACUAGCGGCGGCCUCUUCACUUCCUUGCGGAAGCGGUUGGCCCUCGCGGCCGCCUCCUCCCGUAUGGUCGCGGCGGCCGCCCCCUUGAGCUUCUUCGGCUUGCCGCCGAAUGAACUCGGUCCAGUCUGGCGCCUCUUCAAGCCGCCUUGGCCGGCCAGGCUGGCGGAGGAAGCCGCGACCGAUGGGCCGACCCUUGGCUGGUGGCGCGGGACGACUUCCCCUUCGGCAUCGUCAUCAGGCCAGUCGGUGAAGGUGGCCGAGGGCCUGAGGCCGCCUCCCGCUCCUCCUCCCCCGCCUUCGGCGUCGGCUUCCAUCGCCGCCGCCCCCAAGUCGGGGUCGUCAACGUCGCUCUCCGCUCGGUCGGGGACGAACUCGCGAGGCGGUCUCGUGACGCCGGCUGCGGGCUGCAUGAGGGGGUUCUAAUUCAGAGAAACCAAUGAAAAUCAGAAGUCGGAGUUGGCUAUGAAGAAGAUAAAGAAAUAAAGAGAUGCGACUUACCACUGGAGGGGGGUUGGCGCGCGAGUACGGCUCCUUGCCGAACUGCUAGUCCUCCCCGAGCUCGCAGUUCGCGAUGUGGUUCACCAUGUUUGCCACCUCUGCGCGGGGCAUUUCCCUGGUGCACAUCCGACUAGGGUCCCGGUGGUCGCUCAUCUGACUGAUCAGAUGAGGCCGACCUUGAAGAGGGAGGACUCGGCGCGUCACAAAGGCGGCCAGCAAGUCGGCCCCAAUGAGGCCCUCCGACUGCGUCAGAACUCGGAGCCGCGCCACGGCGGCGGCUCCGGCGGGAGUCAGCGUCUUAGCUCGAUGAGACUAGCUGGGGAGCCUCCCAGCCGGUGCGCCGGCUUCAUAAGGCGGCAGAUUGACCCAAUCCCCGUCGGGGGCAACGCUCUUCACGUAGAAGUAUGACCAUUUCCACAUCUUCACCGACUUGAUUAACGCGAUGGCGGGAAACGGAUUGUCGGCCGUCGACCGCCGCAUCGCGAUGAAGGCGCCGCAUUGAGCUGGCACACCAGCGACGUGCGUGCCGAGCUUGGAUGAGAAGAAUUCUCCCCACAACUCGAUGGUGGGGAGGACGCCGAGGAAGCCUUCGCACAGGGUGGCGAAGGCAGACAACAGCACCACCGUGUUUGGGGUGAGGUGGUACGGCUGGAGCCCGUGGAACUCCAGGAAGGAACGGAAGAAGCCGCUCGCCGGCAGCCCCAGGCCGCGCAUUAGGUGCGAGCAGAAGAUGACCCGCUCACCCUCCUCCGGCGCCGGCAAUAUCCCCCCCCCCUCCGACGCGGCGCAGGCACGCACGAGGUCUGCGCCGGGGAGGCGGCGCGUCCUGCGGAGGAACUCGAUGUGGUCAUCAUCCACCUCCGAGCCGUCCCACACGUCGGAGCGCACGGCGGGGGCCGCGGCGGCGGAGGAAGAGCUCAUCGCAGUUGGUGCAGGGUGUUUCUGCUUGACGGCGGCAAGAGGAAGGAAAGGAGGCAAGAGGAGGUGGGAGAGUAGGGAAGAUGGGCGCGCGUGCUUGCCGCUCCACUCCCCCCCGCCUACUUAUAGCCUUGAGGGCUGAGAAGCCGAUGGUGCGGGUGUGGGAUUAACUGCGCGCAGGACCCCACGCCCCCCACGAUUUACCCCACGAAGUUACUGUGUGCAGUAACGACAUGGGAAAUCCAACCGUCCGCACGGCCACAACGGAUCCGUUUGCAUGCCGAGGCGCGGUAGUGGCGGGCCCCGCCUGACGGCCCGUCCCGUCGCGCAUGUGGGUAGGCAGACUAUCCUUGCCGCGUGGCACCGCGCGACAGGACCGCGGCGGGCGGCCGCGAGGAAGCGUAUCAGGCACGCCGCCUGGUCUCCCCCCACGACUUUCAAACUCUCUACGAAGCAAGACGGCCCUCUGCGAAUCCGACUUUCGGACAGUC
Molecule: long non-coding RNA, 19230 nt
Filed under: Triticum aestivum (bread wheat)
Lineage: Eukaryota; Viridiplantae; Streptophyta; Magnoliopsida; Poales; Poaceae
Description: long non-coding RNA (TAES_LNC003297)
Source: RNAcentral